This 338-nucleotide unclassified non-coding RNA is filed under the name uncultured fungus. RNAcentral describes it as "partial contains 5.8S ribosomal RNA, internal transcribed spacer 2, and large subunit ribosomal RNA". Lineage: Eukaryota; Fungi. The record is from RNAcentral.
AACGCACAUUGCGCUCUCUGGUAUUCCGGGGAGCAUGCUCGUUUCAGAAUCAUCACAAUCUCAAGAGCCUGCUGGGGUUUCGACCUUGGCCGGUUGUCUUGGAUCUUGGGCCGCUUUCCGCUUCGGUGGAAUGGCCUUAAAUGGAUUGUGUGCGCGUCUCACCGGUCAGGUGGACGUCUCAAGUGCAACAGAUGUUUAUCGUUUCGUUACCACUUGAGGUGUUCUCUUCAACGGAGGGAUCAUCGCGCUCCUCCUCUUCAUCACAGGUCGCGACGGCUCCGGUCGGCGCCUCCUGAAGACUUGGUCUGAAAUCGAGCAAGAAAACCCGCUGAACUUAA